GGUGCUCCUAAAUUGUACUUCAAUGCAAAUCUAUUGAUUGAAAAUUGGUCACGAUGUUCGACAGAUCUAUACAAAUAGAAAAAAAGUAAUAAGUAGGUACUUUUACUUUGGUCUCUGCAGAAAAGUCUGAAGGUCAAAAUAAUUUUUCAAUGUACUACAAAGGAUUAAGGAACUAAUUUUUUACAUAAUUAUCGAGAACAAAAAGAAUAAGUACUUAAGCAAGUUUUUCAAACAAUGGAAGUAAUGGACCUUACAACCAAAAAUAUCUAACUAGAACCAUACAACCGUAUAAAGAGCUUAUAUAUAAGAAGAAAGUGAUCAACACGAUUAAAAUCCUUCUCAGUUCUCAAAAUUCGCAUAAAUCGCAUCGACCUGACAAUUAUUAUAUUUUAAAGUAUCCGGUUAUAGUUUUGAAAGGAUGAGUUGCAUAAUACUUGUUAAUACUUUGUUAAUACUUACCUAAUGAACCAUCUGGCUUUAAACUGUGUUGCUUAUUGUAGUCGUAGAAUAGAAACUAAAAACGCCCCGGGAAAUAAUUUAAGUACGGUCCCCUGCUUUCAGCCUGUGCUACGAAGUAGUUAGAACUGAAUAAUUUUUCACUCACUUACCUAUUGAAUAUUCCCAUUUUUACAUUUUAAUGUUUUUUUUUCUUAAUAUUUCAUUAAAUUCCUAUAAAUAUACUGCAUUUCUGUAUAUUUAGAUGUAGGUAUAUUAUAAUUUAUGAUUCAAUAUAAAAUAUAAGAUGGACAAGACAAUAAAUAUUAGCGUGUAGUGAUGGUAACUGUGAUUUAUAACUAUAGAGUAUAGUCUAAGGUUGCCAAUUUUUUUCAUUUUAAAA
Molecule: long non-coding RNA, 838 nt
Organism: Aphis gossypii (cotton aphid)
Lineage: Eukaryota; Metazoa; Arthropoda; Insecta; Hemiptera; Aphididae
Exons: 3
Source: RefSeq, a predicted model, not a curated record